GACGGGUGAGUAACAUGUAGGUAUCUGCCCUUUGGCCUGGAAUAACACGAGGAAACUUGUGCUAAUACCGGAUAAGUCUUUACGGAGAAAGCUUUAUGCACCAUUGGAUGAGCCUGCACUUGAUUAGUUUGUUGGUGGGGUAAUGGCCUACCAAGACUGUGAUCAAUAGCUGAUUUGAGAGGAUGAUCAGCCACAUUGGGACUGAGACACGGCCCAAACUCCUACGGGAGGCAGCAGUGGGGAAUCUUGCACAAUGGAGGAAACUCUGAUGCAGCGAUGCCGCGUGAGUGAAGAAGGCCCUUGGGUUGUAAAGCUCUUUCGUCGGGGAAGAAAAUGACUGUACCCGAAUAAGAAGGU
RNAcentral lists this ribosomal RNA (357 nucleotides) under uncultured bacterium. RNAcentral describes it as "bacterial SSU rRNA". It matches the Rfam family "Bacterial small subunit ribosomal RNA", at positions 100 to 492 of the family's 1533-position model. The record is from RNAcentral.